This 2891-nucleotide ribosomal RNA is filed under the name Pseudomonas aeruginosa. RNAcentral's name for it is "23S ribosomal RNA". It matches the Rfam family "Bacterial large subunit ribosomal RNA". Lineage: Bacteria; Pseudomonadati; Pseudomonadota; Gammaproteobacteria; Pseudomonadales; Pseudomonadaceae. The record is from RNAcentral.
GGUCAAGUGAAGAAGCGCAUACGGUGGAUGCCUUGGCAGUCAGAGGCGAUGAAAGACGUGGUAGCCUGCGAAAAGCUUCGGGGAGUCGGCAAACAGACUUUGAUCCGGAGAUCUCUGAAUGGGGGAACCCACCUAGGAUAACCUAGGUAUCUUGUACUGAAUCCAUAGGUACAAGAGGCGAACCAGGGGAACUGAAACAUCUAAGUACCCUGAGGAAAAGAAAUCAACCGAGAUUCCCUUAGUAGUGGCGAGCGAACGGGGAUUAGCCCUUAAGCUUCAUUGAUUUUAGCGGAACGCUCUGGAAAGUGCGGCCAUAGUGGGUGAUAGCCCCGUACGCGAAAGGAUCUUUGAAGUGAAAUCGAGUAGGACGGAGCACGAGAAACUUUGUCUGAACAUGGGGGGACCAUCCUCCAAGGCUAAAUACUACUGACUGACCGAUAGUGAACCAGUACCGUGAGGGAAAGGCGAAAAGAACCCCGGAGAGGGGAGUGAAAUAGAACCUGAAACCGUAUGCGUACAAGCAGUGGGAGCCUACUUGUUAGGUGACUGCGUACCUUUUGUAUAAUGGGUCAGCGACUUAUAUUCAGUGGCAAGCUUAACCGUAUAGGGUAGGCGUAGCGAAAGCGAGUCUUAAUAGGGCGUUUAGUCGCUGGGUAUAGACCCGAAACCGGGCGAUCUAUCCAUGAGCAGGUUGAAGGUUAGGUAACACUGACUGGAGGACCGAACCCACUCCCGUUGAAAAGGUAGGGGAUGACUUGUGGAUCGGAGUGAAAGGCUAAUCAAGCUCGGAGAUAGCUGGUUCUCCUCGAAAGCUAUUUAGGUAGCGCCUCAUGUAUCACUCUGGGGGGUAGAGCACUGUUUCGGCUAGGGGGUCAUCCCGACUUACCAAACCGAUGCAAACUCCGAAUACCCAGAAGUGCCGAGCAUGGGAGACACACGGCGGGUGCUAACGUCCGUCGUGAAAAGGGAAACAACCCAGACCGCCAGCUAAGGUCCCAAAGUUGUGGUUAAGUGGUAAACGAUGUGGGAAGGCUUAGACAGCUAGGAGGUUGGCUUAGAAGCAGCCAUCCUUUAAAGAAAGCGUAAUAGCUCACUAGUCGAGUCGGCCUGCGCGGAAGAUGUAACGGGGCUCAAACCACACACCGAAGCUGCGGGUGUCACGUAAGUGACGCGGUAGAGGAGCGUUCUGUAAGCCUGUGAAGGUGAGUUGAGAAGCUUGCUGGAGGUAUCAGAAGUGCGAAUGCUGACAUGAGUAACGACAAUGGGUGUGAAAAACACCCACGCCGAAAGACCAAGGGUUCCUGCGCAACGUUAAUCGACGCAGGGUUAGUCGGUUCCUAAGGCGAGGCUGAAAAGCGUAGUCGAUGGGAAACAGGUUAAUAUUCCUGUACUUCUGGUUACUGCGAUGGAGGGACGGAGAAGGCUAGGCCAGCUUGGCGUUGGUUGUCCAAGUUUAAGGUGGUAGGCUGAAAUCUUAGGUAAAUCCGGGGUUUCAAGGCCGAGAGCUGAUGACGAGUCGUCUUUUAGAUGACGAAGUGGUUGAUGCCAUGCUUCCAAGAAAAGCUUCUAAGCUUCAGGUAACCAGGAACCGUACCCCAAACCGACACAGGUGGUCGGGUAGAGAAUACCAAGGCGCUUGAGAGAACUCGGGUGAAGGAACUAGGCAAAAUGGCACCGUAACUUCGGGAGAAGGUGCGCCGGCUAGGGUGAAGGAUUUACUCCGUAAGCCCUGGCUGGUCGAAGAUACCAGGCCGCUGCGACUGUUUAUUAAAAACACAGCACUCUGCAAACACGAAAGUGGACGUAUAGGGUGUGACGCCUGCCCGGUGCCGGAAGGUUAAUUGAUGGGGUUAGCGCAAGCGAAGCUCUUGAUCGAAGCCCCGGUAAACGGCGGCCGUAACUAUAACGGUCCUAAGGUAGCGAAAUUCCUUGUCGGGUAAGUUCCGACCUGCACGAAUGGCGUAACGAUGGCGGCGCUGUCUCCACCCGAGACUCAGUGAAAUUGAAAUCGCUGUGAAGAUGCAGUGUAUCCGCGGCUAGACGGAAAGACCCCGUGAACCUUUACUGUAGCUUUGCACUGGACUUUGAGCCUGCUUGUGUAGGAUAGGUGGGAGGCUUUGAAGCGUGGACGCCAGUUCGCGUGGAGCCAUCCUUGAAAUACCACCCUGGCAUGCUUGAGGUUCUAACUCUGGUCCGUAAUCCGGAUCGAGGACAGUGUAUGGUGGGCAGUUUGACUGGGGCGGUCUCCUCCUAAAGAGUAACGGAGGAGUACGAAGGUGCGCUCAGACCGGUCGGAAAUCGGUCGCAGAGUAUAAAGGCAAAAGCGCGCUUGACUGCGAGACAGACACGUCGAGCAGGUACGAAAGUAGGUCUUAGUGAUCCGGUGGUUCUGUAUGGAAGGGCCAUCGCUCAACGGAUAAAAGGUACUCCGGGGAUAACAGGCUGAUACCGCCCAAGAGUUCAUAUCGACGGCGGUGUUUGGCACCUCGAUGUCGGCUCAUCACAUCCUGGGGCUGAAGCCGGUCCCAAGGGUAUGGCUGUUCGCCAUUUAAAGUGGUACGCGAGCUGGGUUUAGAACGUCGUGAGACAGUUCGGUCCCUAUCUGCCGUGGACGUUUGAGAUUUGAGAGGGGCUGCUCCUAGUACGAGAGGACCGGAGUGGACGAACCUCUGGUGUUCCGGUUGUCACGCCAGUGGCAUUGCCGGGUAGCUAUGUUCGGAAAAGAUAACCGCUGAAAGCAUCUAAGCGGGAAACUUGCCUCAAGAUGAGAUCUCACUGGGAACUUGAUUCCCCUGAAGGGCCGUCGAAGACUACGACGUUGAUAGGCUGGGUGUGUAAGCGUUGUGAGGCGUUGAGCUAACCAGUACUAAUUGCCCGUGAGGCUUGACCAU